CCUACGGGGGGCAGCAGUGGGGAAUAUUGCGCAAUGGGCGAAAGCCUGACGCAGCGACGCCGCGUGAGGGAUGAAGGUCUUCGGAUCGUAAACCUCUGUUAGCAGGGAAGAACGGUCACUGUGCUAAUCAGCAGUGAAUUGACGGUACCUGCAAAGGAAGCACCGGCUAACUCCGGGCCAGCGGCCGCGGUAAUACGGAGGGUGCGGGCGUUAAUCGGAAUUACUGGGCGUAAAGGGCUCGUAGGCGGUAUGUCAAGUCAAGGGUGAAAUCCCCGGGCUCAACGUGGGAACUGCCUUUGAAACUGGCAGACUGGAGUGUGUGAGAGGAUAGUGGAAUUCCAGGUGUAGGAGUGAAAUCCGUAGAUAUCUGGAGGAACAUCAGUGGCGAAGGCGACUAUCUGGCACAUAACUGACGCUGAGGAGCGAAAGCGUGGGUAGCAAACAGGAUUAGAUACCCGUGUAGUC
Molecule: ribosomal RNA, 465 nt
Filed under: uncultured bacterium
Lineage: Bacteria
Description: partial 16S ribosomal RNA
Rfam family: Bacterial small subunit ribosomal RNA
Source: RNAcentral